GGCCAGUGCUUGCAUUUAUGACUAUUAAUGGUCACAGUGCAUUCAUUACAUUACAGUGAUGAAAGAAUGGUGGUUUACCAGCUGUCUGCUAGUGAGUCUCUCUAGCCUAACAUAGUGCUUAUCAACCGCUCAAUAGACUGUUGCUAAAUGAGUGAAUGAAUUUGCAAGGUCAUCUUCAAAUCCAGCACACAUUGGAAACAGGAGAAAAGAAGGAGCCAGAACAGAUCCCACCACAGUUUCUGCACACAAUGAGAUGGGCUGAGAGAACAGAACAUGAAUGGGGAGCUGGUGAAGUGUGGAAGAAUGGGAAAACAGGCAAGAGAGAUGAAGGGAAAGGAUAAAGUCUGGAUUUAACACAUUUCCUUUAUAUCAAUAACUCCCUAACAUUGACAUUAGCAUCUUGCUUACCACAUACCUCUAAGUAUGCUCAGGAAGUUGUAACUCAAUACAGAGAUAUCAUGUGUUAUAACUACAAUUACUGAUCGAUGUACACUCCUUU
RNAcentral lists this long non-coding RNA (499 nucleotides) under Fukomys damarensis (Damara mole-rat). RNAcentral describes it as "lncRNA (ENSFDAG00000027996.1)". The record is from RNAcentral. Lineage: Eukaryota; Metazoa; Chordata; Mammalia; Rodentia; Bathyergidae.